UAGGGAAUCUUCCACAAUGGACGCAAGUCUGAUGGAGCAACGCCGCGUGAGUGAAGAAGGGUUUCGGGUUGUAAAGUACUUUCAGCGGGGAGGAAGGCGAUGCGGUUAAUAACCGCGUCGAUUGACGUUACCCGCAGAAGAAGCACCGGCUAACUCCGUGCCCG
RNAcentral lists this ribosomal RNA (164 nucleotides) under uncultured bacterium. Its description in RNAcentral is "partial 16S rRNA". It matches the Rfam family "Bacterial small subunit ribosomal RNA", at positions 355 to 511 of the family's 1533-position model. The record is from RNAcentral.